AUGAGAGACUACAAACACAGGAAUGUCAGCACCAGUUACUGUCUGACUUUAUUGAACUCUAAAGGUAAAGACACACACCAAAACUCCACACAGCUCACCUGCCAGAGUAUGAGAAGAGAUAUCCUCCAGAAAGGCAGGAAGGACAGAUGUAAUAAGAAAAGAGUCAGUCUGGCAAUGGCCUUCUCAAUGGGCUGUUAUCAUCAGAGGAACGCCUGGCCUCACCACUAACCUUUAAACAAUGCACAUCUCACAUGCUCUCUCCUCAGCGUUUCCUCAGUGUGAGCCCCCCGUUAACACCAGUCCUGCUCUUCACACACACGCUAACCUUGCCUGUCUUUAUUCAAAAACUGAAAACAUCUGUCAAGGAACACCAUCAAGGCCCACUUAGUGGAGAUCCGCUUUCCGUGAGAAGUCAUUUUUCUCCAACACACACUCGCUAAUCUCAUUAUUACUGCAACUAUCAUCCUCCAACUUCGCCACUUUUUUAACUCUGCUCAACUCUUAACUCGAAGGAAAUCCCAGAGUGCUUUGCUGGGCCCGCCCCAAGCAGCAGAACUGGACUGGAGGAGCUUAGAGAGGCAGAGAGGAUUUCAAUACAUGCAGACACACACUGUAUUCCCUGCAGCCGUUAAGUGGCGUCUCCCCACUUUGGGGAUAAUCUGCGGGAGAGAUACUAAAUCAGCUUCCCUUACACUGCCUCAGGACAGCAGAUCCUCUUGUGGUGUCUGUGCCUUAAACUGUGUUCAUAAAGCACAAUCAAGGGCUGGCGCUGGAAGUCAUGCGAGAUACGGGCAUUAGGAUUGCGGGCCGGUUCCCACAGUUCUUCAGUUCUUAAGGACGGUCAUGUGACGCUAAUACCAGUCAGUAGUCAUGCUUCCGAACUUAUGAAUAACUUAUGAGGAACUUUAAAUAGUUUUAGCAGCAUCAGUUCUCCAUAUUUCUGCAGCACAAACCCUCACAUCUGCUGCAUCACAUUUGAUCACUUUUUACCAGUCAGUUUUGCUAAGCAAUUAUUGCUCUGCUGAGCUGUACAGUGAUGCAAAUGCUACAUAAAAGGUCAAAACAUCCUGUUCUGACAACCUCAUCACUUAUCAAGACCUUUAAAUGCACAAAAAUCUUUGCCAACAUCUGAUUUCACUGAAUUCAAAUAGUUCAAUUCAACCUUGUUGGCAAAGGCCCUUUUCGUUAGUUUCACUCACAACUGCACAAAUAUUUUACUGUUAGUACAAAUAGCAUAUUCAUUUUAUAACACCUAGUACCUAUUACUUUUUACUCUGCGCAAGCCAGAUAUUAUUUGUUUAUAUAUAUAUAUAUAUAUAUAUAUAUAUAUAUAUAUAUAUAUAUAUAUAUAUAUAUAUAUAUAUAUAUAUUUAGAUACAAUUUACAUAUUAUAAAAAAUACUUAAAAAUAUAUAAAUAGAUAGUAUAAAUAACAGUAUAAAUAUAUGCUUCCAAAAUCUAUCACAUAAACUUUAAACAAUGUAACACCAAGCAUAUAUGUACAUGUAAACUGAUUGAAACCAGCUUUUUAAAAUAAAGGGAAACUCACCAUCUACUACUUCUUCCUAUGAACUUCUUCUUUUGUUUUUUUCCCCUAUGAACUUUGACCUUGGAAGAACUUUUCCACUACCUUAUGUACUGUCAAAAUAUAAGUUUGAAAUAAAG
Long non-coding RNA from Cyprinus carpio carpio, 1664 nucleotides. NCBI's taxonomy places the organism in Eukaryota, Metazoa, Chordata, Actinopteri, Cypriniformes, Cyprinidae. The record is from Ensembl.